GACGAACGCUGGCGGCGUGCCUAAUACAUGCAAGUCGAACGCUUCUUUCCUCCCGAGUGCUUGCACUCAAUUGGAAAGAGGAGUGGCGGACGGGUGAGUAACACGUGGGUAACCUACCCAUCAGAGGGGGAUAACACUUGGAAACAGGUGCUAAUACCGCAUAACAGUUUAUGCCGCAUGGCAUAAGAGUGAAAGGCGCUUUCGGGUGUCGCUGAUGGAUGGACCCGCGGUGCAUUAGCUAGUUGGUGAGGUAACGGCUCACCAAGGCCACGAUGCAUAGCCGACCUGAGAGGGUGAUCGGCCACACUGGGACUGAGACACGGCCCAGACUCCUACGGGAGGCAGCAGUAGGGAAUCUUCGGCAGUGGACGAAAGUCUGACCGAGCAACGCCGCGUGAGUGAAGAAGGUUUUCGGAUCGUAAAACUCUGUUGUUAGAGAAGAACAAGGACGUUAGUAACUGAACGUCCCCUGACGGUAUCUAACCAGAAAGCCACGGCUAACUACGUG
Molecule: ribosomal RNA, 508 nt
Filed under: uncultured bacterium
Lineage: Bacteria
Description: partial 16S ribosomal RNA
Rfam family: Bacterial small subunit ribosomal RNA
Source: RNAcentral